CUAGUGUAGGGUUGCCAUACGUCCCCGUACGCCGGGACAUGUCCCCGUUUGAAGCAUGGUGUCCUGGCGUCCCGGCCGAUAAGCAAUUUGUCCCCGUUUAAAAAUCAUAGUUAUUUAAUAGAGGGCUAGACUUGGUAAACAGUAAUAUACCUACGUAGAAAUAAACGCGACUAACUAGCUAGGCUAAUGAGUCCCAAAAAGAGUUGCUCCGUAAAGCGGGAACAUCUGACAAGUAUGAAUGGGCCCACAAAAGUGGCAACAAUUAGACUAAGAAGCUUCCUAACCGCUGGAUUUUAUAUUUGUUGAUUAAUUUAUUAUAUUUUGUACUAAUAAAAAAAAUGCCAUGCAUAAACGAGGAUAUAAUAUUUGAUGAUUAUAUUUUGUGUUAAUUUAAAAAAUAACAAUGCCAUGCAUAGUUGAGAAUGUUAUAUUUAUUUUGUUGUUGAUUAUAUUUUGUGUUUAUUAAAAAAAUAACAUUGUGAUAAUUUUAUGUUUGUUGAUUACAUACCCCCUUACUAAUAAUGGUUGUAUAGUGGCGGUAUAGCUAUACAAUGUUUUGUCCUUAUCUGUCAAAUUCAAAUGUCACAAUGACAGAUAAGGUCAAAAGAUUGUAUAGCUAUACCACCGCUAUACAACCAUUAUUAGUAAGACUAAGGGGGAACGUGUGCUAAUUAAAAAAUGUUGACAGAUACUUAAUACUUUGGUUAAUGUUGAUUAAUACCUAUUGUUGUAAUAAAAGCUCCUUUUUUCUACCUUUAA
This is a long non-coding RNA of Ostrinia nubilalis (European corn borer), 759 nucleotides long. RefSeq lists it as uncharacterized. The record is from RefSeq and is a predicted model, not a curated record. NCBI's taxonomy places the organism in Eukaryota, Metazoa, Arthropoda, Insecta, Lepidoptera, Crambidae. The transcript has 2 exons.